ACACGACUACAUUAGAUACCCCUGUAGUCCUAGCCGUAAACGAUACUCGCUAGGUGUCGGCCACGGUGCGACCGUUGUCGGUGCCGUAGGGAAGCCGUGAAGCGAGCCACCUGGGAAGUACGGCCGCAAGGCUGAAACUUAAAGGAAUUGGCGGGGGAGCACAACAACGGGUGGAGCUUGCGGUUCAAUUGGAUUCAACGCCGGACAACUCACCAGGAGCGACGGUUACAUGAAGGCCAGGCUGAUGACCUUGCCUGAUUUUCCG
RNAcentral lists this ribosomal RNA (265 nucleotides) under uncultured archaeon. RNAcentral describes it as "partial 16S ribosomal RNA". It matches the Rfam family "Archaeal small subunit ribosomal RNA", at positions 717 to 982 of the family's 1478-position model. The record is from RNAcentral.